Molecule: ribosomal RNA, 432 nt
Filed under: Triticum aestivum (bread wheat)
Lineage: Eukaryota; Viridiplantae; Streptophyta; Magnoliopsida; Poales; Poaceae
Description: partial small subunit ribosomal RNA
Source: RNAcentral
AUGCUGUGUUGUUAUUGGUGUAGCCGCUGGAGAGGAAAGAGCAGAGGAUGUCUUGGGGGCUUGAUCAUUUUAUCUGUCUGUGCAGGGAUGGCAAGGCAGAUUGAAGGUGGUCACGGCCAUCUCACAGAGAUGGUGCAAGCUGUCAAGAAUCACGGUGCUGGGGCACUACACUUCGCCUCCGGGUGCAAGAUGGCGGAAGUGUGCGAGUACCUGUUGAGGUUGUCCAGGUGGACGUGGAUGCUGUUGACCAAGCAGGUAGAACACCUAUGGUUUGGGCAAUCACUGCUGAUAAAAUUGGGGCAUUGUGAAAUAGUAGAACUCUUGCUCUCUAGGGGUGCUUAUGUCGAUCUAUUUUAUAUGGAUCAUGGGACUCCAUUGCAUGAUAAACAUAAGCAGGAUGUAACCGUGAAGAUUUUUUUGGAUCACAUGUAG